GGUCCUAAGGCCUAGAUGGCAAAGCGCCUGCCUAGUAAGUAGGAGAUCACGAGUUCGAGUCUCGUUGGGACCU
Molecule: non-coding RNA, 73 nt
Organism: Daphnia pulex (common water flea)
Lineage: Eukaryota; Metazoa; Arthropoda; Branchiopoda; Diplostraca; Daphniidae
Source: Rfam